RNAcentral lists this ribosomal RNA (253 nucleotides) under uncultured bacterium. RNAcentral describes it as "partial 16S ribosomal RNA". It matches the Rfam family "Bacterial small subunit ribosomal RNA", at positions 524 to 776 of the family's 1533-position model. The record is from RNAcentral.
UACAGAGGUCUCAAGCGUUGUUCGGAUUCAUUGGGCGUAAAGGGUGCGUAGGUGGCGCUGUAAGUCAGGUGUGAAAUUUCGGAGCUUAACUCCGAAACUGCAUUUGAUACUGCGGUGCUUGAGGACUGGAGAGGAGACUGGAAUUUACGGUGUAGCAGUGAAAUGCGUAGAUAUCAAGUGGAACACCAGUGGCGAAGGCGAGUCCCUGGACACUUACUGGCACUGAGGCACGAAAGCUAGGGGAGCAAACAGG